RNAcentral lists this ribosomal RNA (253 nucleotides) under uncultured bacterium. RNAcentral's name for it is "partial 16S ribosomal RNA". It matches the Rfam family "Bacterial small subunit ribosomal RNA", at positions 524 to 776 of the family's 1533-position model. The record is from RNAcentral.
UACGUAGGGUGCGAGCGUUAAUCGGAAUUACUGGGCGUAAAGCGUGCGCAGGCGGUGAUGUAAGACAGGUGUGAAAUCCCCGGGCUUAACCUGGGAACUGCAUUUGUGACUGCAUCGCUGGAGUGCGGCAGAGGGGGAUGGAAUUCCGCGUGUAGCAGUGAAAUGCGUAGAUAUGCGGAGGAACAGCGAUGGCGAAGGCAAUCCCCUGGGCCUGCACUGACGCUCAUGCACGAAAGCGUGGGGAGCAAACAGG